CGGACGGGUGAGCAAUGUCUGGGAAACUGCCUGAUGGAGGGGGAUAACUACUGGAAACGGUAGCUAAUACCGCAUAACGUCGCAAGACCAAAGAGGGGGACCUUCGGGCCUCUUGCCAUCGGAUGUGCCCAGAUGGGAUUAGCUAGUAGGUGGGGUAAAGGCUCACCUAGGCGACGAUCCCUAGCUGGUCUGAGAGGAUGACCAGCCACACUGGAACUGAGACACGGUCCAG
RNAcentral lists this ribosomal RNA (232 nucleotides) under uncultured bacterium. Its description in RNAcentral is "partial 16S ribosomal RNA". It matches the Rfam family "Bacterial small subunit ribosomal RNA", at positions 99 to 334 of the family's 1533-position model. The record is from RNAcentral.